CCGUUUGCCCGGGCGACCGGGCGCACGGGUGAGUAACACGUAUGCAACCUGCCCGUGGCAGGGGGAUAAGCGGGGGAAACCCCGUCUAAUACCGCGUAACGCGGCCUAGGGACAUCCCAAGGCCGCCAAAGGGAGCAAUCCCGGCCACGGAUGGGCAUGCGGCGCAUUAGCUAGUCGGCGGGGUAACGGCCCACCGUGGCGACGAUGCGUAGGGGUUCUGAGAGGAAGGUCCCCCACACUGGUACUGAGACACGGACCAGACUCCUACGGGAGGCAGCAG
This 280-nucleotide ribosomal RNA is filed under the name uncultured bacterium. RNAcentral describes it as "partial 16S ribosomal RNA". It matches the Rfam family "Bacterial small subunit ribosomal RNA", at positions 75 to 354 of the family's 1533-position model. The record is from RNAcentral.